RNAcentral lists this long non-coding RNA (1262 nucleotides) under Equus asinus (donkey). RNAcentral's name for it is "lncRNA (ENSEASG00005030209.1)". Lineage: Eukaryota; Metazoa; Chordata; Mammalia; Perissodactyla; Equidae. The record is from RNAcentral.
UUAACUUCCAUAUUUUAAAUUAUAAAAAUAAACUGGGAAACUAAAGCAAAUGUGCAUCCUUGCGGGACUCCAAGCCUGGGCACUGGCCGCCUGCGUGCACUCCUCUAAGUGUGCAUAACACGCCCGCAGGGGUUGCCAGCAGGAAGCCUGCGUUAACUUUAUCUCGUGGUGGGGAAGGUGGAGCCCACGCCCACACCUAGCAAGCUGGAGAGGGAGGUUUCGUGAGGAAAUAAAUAUGGGGCACGGAAACACAGUCUUCCGCAUGGAGUCCCCAGAGGCAGUGCAUUUUAAACCCUAAAUGUGGAUUACUGAGUGUCCGAGUGGAGUUUAAAUUCCGUUUGAAGAAACUGGAUAAGGAGUGUUUGUGUGGGUGUUUGUGCGCACGGCUAUAUGGGAGCAGGCACAGGAUCUCAGUGUUGGGGGUGUCCCUAGUGUGCGAUGUCCUCCUCUCGCCACAUUAGGAGAACUCCUUUAGCUCCCCCAAACUGGCCCCCGUAACUACCCUGCCUCGGUUCGUAAGGGGUUAACCAAAACCGAUUCCGAGGACAGACAACCCGCCCCCACAGUCACCCCCACCCACACUCGCUUCCGACCCUGGCCAAGCCCCCAAAUCUUCCCCGGGGACCCCCCACCCCGCAGCCCACCCACCGGAGCGCACAGCUCCUCACCUGAAGGGCCGGGCCACGUCCGGCCUCCCGAAGAGGCUGCGUGCGUCAGGCGGACCACCGCACGUGUCCUCGGCGGCGCGGAGCAGUUUCCAGUUCACAUCACUGCAACACCAAGUCCAAUGGAAGAGGGAAAAUCCACUUCUCCAACAGAGAAAAAGACUAGAAGGAAGCUCCCAAAAUGUUAAAGGUUUUUAGUGGAUUCCUUAGGACUUUCUGUAUAUGUAUACAAGAUCAUGUCAUCUCCCUGCAAGCUAUUUGGCAUAUGAAGGUCUUGACCUGAGAAAACCAUCUUGGAUAACCGUGGCAAGGAGAAGGAAAAAUGCAACACCUAGGAGAUUUCAGUAAACAGUAGAAUCAUGCCAACCUAAUCUGUGUUAAAAUGCUUGGAAUGUGGGAGCCGCUGAUGAUGCCUGUUGUCUGUGUGUCUGACUGAAUCCUUUCUUUACUCAGAGCAGCAAAGCAAAGCCUGGGAACCAGGCCAAAUGCCUGCCACUUACCUUAAAUUGAUCAGCCACUUUGAGAUUAAAACUCCUGAAAGCUGCCACACCGUGAAAACAAGGCCCCCUUCACAUUAAAGGCAAAUUGCGACUUUGA